GGGAAGGAGGCUCAGUGGUAGAGUACUUGCCUCAUAUGCAUGAGGCCCUGGGUUCGAUUCCUCAGCACCCCA
Molecule: transfer RNA, 72 nt
Filed under: Dipodomys ordii (Ord's kangaroo rat)
Lineage: Eukaryota; Metazoa; Chordata; Mammalia; Rodentia; Heteromyidae
Rfam family: tRNA
About the family: Transfer RNA (tRNA) molecules are approximately 80 nucleotides in length.
Source: Rfam by way of RNAcentral